GAUGAACGCUGGCGGCGUGCCUAAUACAUGCAAGUCGAGCGAAAAGACGAGGAGUUUGCGCCUCUGACGGUAGCGGCGGACGGGAGAGUAACACGUGGAUAACCUACCUAUAAGAAUGGGAUAACUACGGGAAAUCGGAGCUAAUACCGGAUAAUAUAUUGAACCGCAAGGUUCCAUAGUUGAAGACGGUAUUUGUGUCACUUAUAGAUGGAUACGCGCCGCAUUAGCUAGUUGGUAAGGUAACGGAUUACCAAGGCAAGGAUGCGUAGCCGACCUGAGAGGGUGAUCCGCCACACGGCAACUGGGACGCGCACCAGACUCCGACGGGAGGCAGCAGCAAGGAAUCUUCCGCAAGGGGCGAAAGCCUGACGUAGCCACGCGGCGUGAGUCAUGAAGAUCUUCGGCGCGUAAAUCUCUGUUAUUUUGGAAGAACAAAUGUGUUAUUAACGAUGCGCUUCUUGACGUUACCUGAGCAGAAACCCCCGGCUAACUACUU
This 496-nucleotide ribosomal RNA is filed under the name uncultured bacterium. Its description in RNAcentral is "partial 16S ribosomal RNA". It matches the Rfam family "Bacterial small subunit ribosomal RNA", at positions 28 to 506 of the family's 1533-position model. The record is from RNAcentral.